AAAAGAGCUAAAGGUGUAGGGGAAGUGAGAUGGGUAGGGGAAAGGAAAUAAGGGAAAAGAAAAAUAUGAGAAAAGGAAAAAAUAGGGUAGGAGGAGUGGGUGAAGAGAGGGCAGGGGGAUGGAGAAAAAAUGAGAACCAAGACCUGUCAUGUAAAGGUGCAAGAUCCCAGUGAUGAAUGGAACUGUACUGUAUACUUAAAAAGUACCGACAAACUUAAUGAAUAAAAAAGAAAUAUCUACUGAAUAAAUAAAUGCAUGUUACAUUCCUUGCUGUAUCUCCAUAUCCCAGCUCAGCAUUUGGCUCAAUACACCCUUGAAGAACUGAUGAAUAAGGCUGACCCGCAGACAAAGGGAUGGCCCAGCCAUGAGCGUGAUCUUUCCUACUGUGAUCAUGACAUGCAAAGAACUCAAUGUUUUGGUUGGCAGAGGAGUCCAGCCUUAUCCUAACUAAUAGAGUUACCAGAUAUCCAGCUUCCACUGCAAAAUUGGAUAACCUCGCAUCUGCUAUGCUCCAGGGUGACACUCAACAGGUGCCAAGCUCCAGUUUGCC
RNAcentral lists this long non-coding RNA (550 nucleotides) under Fukomys damarensis (Damara mole-rat). Its description in RNAcentral is "lncRNA (ENSFDAG00000024182.1)". Lineage: Eukaryota; Metazoa; Chordata; Mammalia; Rodentia; Bathyergidae. The record is from RNAcentral.